CCUACGGGCGGCAGCAGUGAGGAAUAUUGGUCAAUGGACGAGAGUCUGAACCAGCCACGUAGCGUGAAGGAUGACUGCCCUAUGGGUUGUAAACUUCUUUUAUAAAGGAAUAAAACGAGGCACGUGUGCCUUUUUGCAUGUACUUUAUGCAUAAGGAUCGGCUAACUCCGUGCCAGCAGCCGCGGUAAUACGGAGGGUUCGAGCGUUAUCCGGAUUUAUUGGGUUUAAAGGGAGCGUAGAUGGGUUGUUAAGUCAGUUGUGAAAGUUUGGGGCUCAACCGUAAGAUUGCAAUUGAUACUGGCAGUCUUGAGUACAGUUGAGGUAGGCGGAAUUCGUGGUGUAGCGGUGAAAUGCUUAGAUAUCACGAAGAACCCCGAUUGCGAAGGCAGCUUACUAAACUGUGACUGACAUUGAUGCUCGAAAGUGUGGGGAUCAAACAGGAUUAGAUACCCCAGUAGUC
Molecule: ribosomal RNA, 460 nt
Filed under: uncultured bacterium
Lineage: Bacteria
Description: partial 16S ribosomal RNA
Rfam family: Bacterial small subunit ribosomal RNA
Source: RNAcentral